Molecule: ribosomal RNA, 440 nt
Filed under: uncultured bacterium
Lineage: Bacteria
Description: partial 16S ribosomal RNA
Rfam family: Bacterial small subunit ribosomal RNA
Source: RNAcentral
CCUACGGGAGGCAGCAGUGGGGAAUAUUGCACAAUGGGGGAAACCCUGAUGCAGCGACGCCGCGUGAGUGAAGAAGUAUUUCGGUAUGUAAAGCUCUAUCAGCAGGGAAGAAAAUGACGGUACCUGAUUAAGAAGGCCCGGCUAACUACGUGCCAGCAGCCGCGGUAAUUCGUAGGGGGCAAGCGUUAUCCGGAUUUACUGGGUGUAAAGGGAGCGUAGACGGCAGCACAAGGCUGGAGGGAAAUGCCUGGGCUUAACCCCCGAACUGCUGUGGAAACUGUGCGGCUAGAGUGCAGGAGAGGUAAGUGGAAUGCCUAGUGUAGCGGUGAAAUGCGUAGAUAUUAGGAGGAACACCAGUGGCGAAGGCGGCUUACUGGACUGUAACUGACGUUGAGGCUCGAAAGCGUGGGGAGCAAACAGGAUUAGAUACCCCAGUAGUC